GACGAACGCUGGCGGCGUGCUUAACACAUGCAAGUCGAACGGAAAGGCCCUGCUUUUGUGGGGUGCUCGAGUGGCGAACGGGUGAGUAACACGUGAGUAACCUGCCCUUGACUUUGGGAUAACUUAAGGAAACUGGGGCUAAUACCGGAUAGGAGCUCCUGCUGCAUGGUGGGGGUUGGAAAGUUUCGGCGGUUGGGGAUGGACUCGCGGAUUAUCAGCUUGUUGGUGGGGUAGUGGAUUACCAAGGCUUUGACGGGUAGCCGGCCUGUGAGGGUGACCGGCCACAAUGGGACUGAGAGACGGCCCAGACUCCUACGGGGGGCAGCAGUGGGGAAUAUGGCACAAUGGGCGGAAGCCUGAUGCAGCAACGCCGCGUGCGGGAUGACGGCCUUCUGGGUGUAAACCGCUUUCGCCUGUGACGAAGCGUGAGUGACGGUAAUGGGUAAAGAAGCACCGGCUAACUACGUG
RNAcentral lists this ribosomal RNA (468 nucleotides) under uncultured bacterium. RNAcentral describes it as "partial 16S ribosomal RNA". It matches the Rfam family "Bacterial small subunit ribosomal RNA", at positions 28 to 507 of the family's 1533-position model. The record is from RNAcentral.